RNAcentral lists this transfer RNA (72 nucleotides) under Ixodes scapularis (black-legged tick). RNAcentral describes it as "tRNA-Phe for anticodon GAA". It matches the Rfam family "tRNA". From Rfam's summary of the family: Transfer RNA (tRNA) molecules are approximately 80 nucleotides in length. The record is from RNAcentral. Lineage: Eukaryota; Metazoa; Arthropoda; Arachnida; Ixodida; Ixodidae.
GCUGGUUAGCUUAAUCGGUAGAGCGCUUCACUGAAGAUGGAGAGGUCCCUGGUUUGAUACCAGGACCAGGCG